GGGGAAUAUUGCGAAAUGGGGGAAAUUCUGAGGCAGAAAUACGGCGUGAGUGAAGAAGGUUUUCGGAUUGUAAAGAUAGGUUAUUGGGGAAGAAAAAAAGAAGGUACCCAAGAAGAAAGUCCCGGAUAACUACGUGCCAGCAGCCGCGGUAAUACGUAGGGGACAAGCGUUGUCCGGAUUUACUGGGCGUAAAGGGCACGCAGGCGGUUUUUUAAGUCAGAUGUGAAAGGUACCGGCUCAACCGGUGACAUGCAUUUGAAACUGAAAGACUUGAGUAUUGGAGAGGCAAGUGGAAUUCCUAGUGUAGCGGUGAAAUGCGUAGAUAUUAGGAGGAACACCGGUGGCGAAGGCGGCUUGCUGGACAAAUACUGACGCUGAGGUGCGAAAGCGUGGGGAGCAAACA
Molecule: ribosomal RNA, 403 nt
Filed under: uncultured Acetobacterium sp.
Lineage: Bacteria; Bacillati; Bacillota; Clostridia; Eubacteriales; Eubacteriaceae
Description: bacterial SSU rRNA
Rfam family: Bacterial small subunit ribosomal RNA
Source: RNAcentral